Molecule: ribosomal RNA, 775 nt
Filed under: uncultured Neocallimastigales
Lineage: Eukaryota; Fungi; Neocallimastigomycota; Neocallimastigomycetes; Neocallimastigales
Description: partial large subunit ribosomal RNA
Rfam family: Eukaryotic large subunit ribosomal RNA
Source: RNAcentral
UAUCUCUGUAGAGUCUGCAUAUCAAUAAGCGGAGGAAAAGAAACUAACUAGGAUACCCUCAGUAACGGCGAGUGAAGCGGGAAGAGCUCAAAUUUGAAAUCUUCAAGGGUUCUACCUUGACGAAUUGUAGUUUAAAGAAGUGUUUUCUGUUGGAGUUUUGGUAAAAGUUCUUUGGAAUAGGACAUCAUAGAGGGUGAGAAUCCCGUAUUUGACCAUUAUUUCCAACUUUGUGAUACACUUUCAAAGAGUCGGAUUGUUUGGGAAUGCAGUCCAAAAUGGGUGGUAAAUUUCAUCUAAAGCUAAAUACUGGCGAGAGACCGAUAGCGAACAAGUACCGUGAGGGAAAGAUGAAAAGAACUUUGAAAAGAGAGUUAAACAGUACGUGAAAUUGUCAAAAGGGAAGCGUUUGACACCAGUGUUGUUUUCUCGAAAAUCAAUUAAAAAUGGCGGGAUUUUGUGUUGUAUUGACUUUAUCAGCUUUCUGCACUUUUUUCCUGUCUUUUUUAAUGCACUUUACGUUUAACAAGUCAACAUCAAUUUCUUUUGUUGUAAAAGAGUCAUUGGAAGGUGGCUUUCUUUUCGGAGAAAGAGUUUAUAGCCUUUGACUUCUGCAAUCGGAGAGAUUGAGGUCUGCAGCGUAGAUCCUUCGGGGUUAGAUACAUUUGUGCUAAGCUAUAGCCUUUCAUAGACAACUUGUUGACUAUGAUCAGUCAUGUAGCUUACUCGCUUAUGCUAUUCUACCUACGCUUAGGAUGUUGAUGUGAUACUGCGAGCA